Molecule: long non-coding RNA, 141 nt
Organism: Bradysia coprophila
Lineage: Eukaryota; Metazoa; Arthropoda; Insecta; Diptera; Sciaridae
Source: RefSeq, a predicted model, not a curated record
UACAGCGGAGGUUGUCCAACAAUGUAAAGAACUAUGGACGUGGACCACUUUACAUCAAGGUCUGCGAAUCGACUCAGCGCUAGUGACUCAGACUAAUAUGAUCAGAAUGGGCGAGCUGCAACAGAUGAAAUUAAAAAAAAA